This 619-nucleotide ribosomal RNA is filed under the name Tricholoma saponaceum. RNAcentral's name for it is "eukaryotic LSU rRNA". It matches the Rfam family "Eukaryotic large subunit ribosomal RNA", at positions 73 to 673 of the family's 3401-position model. Lineage: Eukaryota; Fungi; Basidiomycota; Agaricomycetes; Agaricales; Tricholomataceae. The record is from RNAcentral.
ACCCCUAUGUAACUCGCGAGUGAAGCGGGAAAAGCUCAAAUUUAAAAUCUGAUGGUCCUUGUGGCUAUCCGAGUUGUAAUCUAGAGAAGUGCUAUCCGCGCUGGACCGUGUACAAGUCUCCUGGAACGGAGCGUCAUAGAGGGUGAGAAUCCCGUCUUUGACAUGGACUACCAGGGCUUAUGUGAUGCGCUCUCAAAGAGUCGAGUUGUUUGGGAAUGCAGCUCUAAAUGGGUGGUAAAUUCCAUCUAAAGCUAAAUAUUGGCGAGAGACCGAUAGCGAACAAGUACCGUGAGGGAAAGAUGAAAAGAACUUUGGAAAGAGAGUUAAACAGUACGUGAAAUUGUUGAAAGGGAAACGCUUGAAGUCAGUCACGUUGGCCAGGGAUCAACCUUGCUUUUGCUUGGCGUACUUUCUGGUUAACGGGUCAGCAUCAAUUUUGACCGGUGGAUAAAGGUCAGGGGAAUGUGGCAUCUUCGGAUGUGUUAUAGCCCUUGGUUGCAUACAUCGGUUGGGAUUGAGGAACUCAGCACGCCGCAAGGCCGGGUUUUUAACCACGUACGUGCUUAGGAUGCUGGCAUAAUGGCUUUAAUCGACCCGUCUUGAAAAGGGGACCAAGGAA